Molecule: microRNA, 22 nt
Filed under: Alligator mississippiensis (American alligator)
Lineage: Eukaryota; Metazoa; Chordata; Crocodylia; Alligatoridae
Description: ami-miR-9612-3p
Source: miRBase by way of RNAcentral
AAAGAAGGGUAGGAGUUGAGUA